CGCGUAGGCGGCUUUUUAAGUCGGUUGUGAAAGCCCCGGGCUCAACCCGGGGAGGCCAGCCGAUACUGGGGGGCUUGAGGGCAGGAGAGGGAAGCGGAACUGCCGGUGUAGCGGUGGAAUGCGUAGAUAUCGGCAGGAACACCCGCGGCGAAGGCGGCUUCCUGGACUGCUCCUGACGCUGAGGCGCGAAAGCCAGGGGAGCGAACGGGAUUAGAUACCCCGGUAGUCCUGGCCCUAAACGAUGGUCACUAGGUGUCGCGGGUAUCGACCCCUGCGGUGCCGCAGCUAACGCAGUAAGUGACCCGCCUGGGAGUACGGCCGCAAGGUUGAA
Molecule: ribosomal RNA, 331 nt
Filed under: uncultured bacterium
Lineage: Bacteria
Description: bacterial SSU rRNA
Rfam family: Bacterial small subunit ribosomal RNA
Source: RNAcentral